Long non-coding RNA from Cynoglossus semilaevis (tongue sole), 1168 nucleotides. RefSeq lists it as uncharacterized. Lineage: Eukaryota; Metazoa; Chordata; Actinopteri; Pleuronectiformes; Cynoglossidae. The record is from RefSeq and is a predicted model, not a curated record. The transcript has 2 exons.
CCUUGAUGAGUUUUUAAUGUAACUGUGUAAAUGGCACAUUGUAGUCAUUUAAAACAGGGGGCAGGGGGUUGAAAAGAUGAUUGGCGUUGUUUUUUUAAGAAAUUGGUUAUAUAACUAGAACACUUAAUGAAUUAAUUUAAUCAGGCAUGAUUGUUGAUUUUAUAGAACACGCCGUCCUUGGUUGGUUACAAAAGGAAGUGUCUGAAAACCAUCAUAACACACGCCUGCGUGUGCUCACUAACACACCCACAGGAACCUUCACCUACAGAAAGCCACCUUUAAAAAAGAAUGUCACAUUUUGUAGAUACUGACAUGAAUGUAAGCUGACUUGUUCAAUUGAUAACACAAUGGACUUUGGUGUCUCUCUGCAGGAGGUGUUGCUGGAAAGGGCUGUGACUUGUUCCUAGUCGGAUAUAAAGCAUACUGAACGAGUGAGCAGCAUGUACCGGACACACACAGGGCUGUUGGUUGUCUGGAGCCCAGGAAUUAAUCCAUGUGUCAGUAGGAGUUCAUAAGGGCUUAGAGGCGGGAUACUGCCUAUUUACAGUAGGCAGAGCUCUAAUGUCCUAAAAGAGUUGGUGUGGCAUACAGUAAUGUUCUUCUGCAUAGGAACACGUGUGGGCCACACCAAAGCCAUGUGAUUAUGUGGUGAUGAUGUUCAUUCAUGUGGAAUGUUGACAGAGAAUGAAUAUUAAAUGCAUUUUGUGACUUUUAACUGCAUUAAGUUGUGGUGGAAAGAGGUUUGUUUUUUACUGGCAUCAGUCAGAUGCACUUACAAGGAUUUGAAAACUCUAUAAAUGUUGCUAAUUCCCACUCCAAACUCCAUUUUGAUUUUUUUUUUUUUUCUCAGCCCAUGACCAAACUUUUUCAACAUUGCCACUAACUUUUCUCCAAACUGCCCAACUGGAAAGCUGUUGUUGGUAUCUGAUUAUUUUCAACGUUCAUUCAGAAUGUCAGCAUCUUCACCUUGAGUCUACUAAAAAGUACAGCUCAUAUUAACAGAUUCCAUUAUUGUAUUAUACCGUCUUUGUGGUCUCGCUGCUACAGUAUCCACAAUCCAUCCAUUCUACCCUUUCCGCACUUUAAUGUUAAACAAAGUUGCCAAACAUGUGCUCUGUUAUGAAUAUGCAAUUUGCAGAUAAACAUUAAUAAAUAUUAAGAAACGUCA